Molecule: long non-coding RNA, 6564 nt
Filed under: Sus scrofa (pig)
Lineage: Eukaryota; Metazoa; Chordata; Mammalia; Artiodactyla; Suidae
Description: lncRNA (ENSSSCG00000061990.1)
Source: RNAcentral
AUGCAGAGCCUUUUAUUGGUCAUGAACCAGCAAGAUGAAGGAUGAGAACGCACUCGGAGGCAGCGCGCGUGGGAGAAGGCGGCCUGGAGGCUUGGGACUCGGGCAAGGGGAGGCCAGCAGGUCCAGCAGGGCCACCGCCCACGGUUCCCGCCUGCGGCACGGGGAGUCCCUGAGACCCAGUGGCUUAAACGCAGCAGCCCCGCGAUCCGAGGUCCCGGCCGGUCCAGAGCUGUCUGUCCCACAGGCGCCCUGCGCUCACGGUAUCACAGAGCUGCAGAGCCUCCCCUGCAGCCCUGGCCCUGGGCCGCCCCUGGCUGACCGGCUGCACUCGGUGAGCCGAGCCUCACCCCGCUGGGGAGGAGCACGCCGGCCCCUUGCUGGGGCGCGUCCCCUUCCUGUGGGGCCCGAUCCGGAGUCAGGACACUCCCGUGUGUUUCACAUGACCCCGUGGGUCCUGUCAACCUCCUGAGGCCUCUGUGGCUCCGGGCCAUCGUCGCAGGGGCCAGAGUUCCUCCCUGUGUCUGCGAUGCCCCCCCCUUUCUGACCAGAUGAGGGAGCUGGAGACCCUGGAGACCAGAGCAGGCCCAGCAGACAGGCCCUCUGGCGGCUGCCCAACCUUCCUGCUGGAUCCCCGCAGGGAGGAGCCGGGCUGACCACGCACCCAGGGGCUUCCCAGGAGCCCUCACUGCACGUGGGCCCUGCCUGUCCCCCCACCAGGUGGCCCACUCUGACCGCGGCCACCUGGGCUGCGCUCCAGCAUUGGACGCCCUGUGCAUUGCGGCUGCCCCGCCACCGAAGGUGCCCUGGACAGUCAGGGGGAGGGUGGCACAGGCCCCAGGCUGCAGGGGGACCCGAGCUCUGUGUAGCCAGGGGCCCUUCCCGUCUCUUUCUUGGGAAGAGUCUGUUCAGACCUUCUGACCCUCCAGACAUCCAGCUGUUCUGCGGAGUCGCAGGAGCUCUUCCUGAAUCCUGCAUGCACACGUGCACACACACACACGCGCGCAGGCACACACAAACACACAUGCAGGCACACAAACACACGCAGGCGCACACACACACACGCACACACACAGGUGCACACACACUCAGGAACACACACGCAUACACACAGGCAUACACACAGGUGCACGCACAAACACGCACACACACAGGUGCACACACACAAACGCACACACACACAUGCAGGCACGCACACACACGCACAUACAAACGCAGGCGCACACGCACGCACGCACACACAGGCGCACACACAUGCACGCGCGAACACACGCACACACACACAGGCACACACAUGCACGCAUGCACAAACACAGGCGCACACGCGCGCGCGCACACAUAGGUGCACAUACAUGCACACACACCGGCACGCACACAUGCGCGCGCACACACACAGGCACACACACACAGGCAUACACACUCGCACACACACAGGUGUACACACACGCAGGCGCACACACAUGCACACACAGGCGCACACACUUGCACACACACAGAGGUGCACACAUACGCAGGCACAUACACACACACGCACAUGCACACACGCACACCGGCACAUAUGAGCGCGCACACAUGCACGCGCACACACAGGCACACAUGCACGCGCUCACACACACGCAGGCACACAGGCACACAUGCAUGCGCACACACACGCAGGCACCCACACACACAGGCACAUGCACGUGCACACACACGCAGGCACACACACACACACACGCACACACCUGCAGGCACACACACAGGCACACGCGGGCACACACACGCACACGCAGGCAUACACAUGUACACACAGGCCCCACACACACAGGCGCGCACACACGCAGGCACACACACACAGGCACACAGGCACACACAGGCACACACACGCAGGCACACACACACAGGGACACGCACAUGGGCGCCCUGCCUCCCCCAGGUCCCGAUGCCCCAUGGCCUGGGGGCGUGUCCCACCCCGUCUGUUCAGCCCUCGGGGCACAGCACUGCCCGCACUGACGGCCCAGGCCCCCGGCCGACCCGCGCUUUCUCCGGCCCAUACGCGGCAUGCCUUUGAGGGACACUUGCUCCUCUGGUUGGAAGCAGACCCUGCGUUUCCUUCCACGGCCCCCGCCACAGCUGCGCCACUGAGACGAAUACCAGGCAGGGUGCUGGCUCGGGCCGCUGCUGGGGACCCGGGGCGGAUGUGGCCUCGGGGGCCUGUCUGAGGCCCCAGACACGAGGCCAGUUCAGGAGGGUCCAGCUGUGGUGCGUGAGGCCCCAGACUGGUGGAGAGCUGGUGUCCACGUCGCCUCCAGUGGGGGGAGGACGGGCGUGGCAGUGGCCUGGGGAGCACCGGCAGCCAGAAGCCAUGAGCCGAGGGGCCCAGGGCAGGGAAGGGCUCCUGUGGCCACCGUUGGCCAGAGGCGGCAGUGCAGAUUCUCAGCAAGUCCCCGUGGGAGAGUCGUCUGCAGGCCCCUGGCCCUGUGCUGGGGACCCAGGGGACCCUGCCACACAAGGUCUGUCUUCACAGGACCAGAGUGGCUGGAUCUCGGGGGCGUGGUCUUUCCUGCCCCCCGCCCUGGCGGAGCGUCAGGGAGCCUCCCUCGUGCUGCACCCACUUUAGCGUGCCCCUGCCCUCAGAACCCGCCUCCUUUCGCUCCUUUCUGGCCUGGGUCUCCCGCCUCCACCUCCACCCCGCGGUCACCUGACAUCCCGACUCACCUGCGUCUUCAGCAGCUCAGAAGCCCAGAUCCUGCCACCUGGAGGCUGAAGCCAGGGGGAGGUGGGGAGAAGCCAGAGGCCAGGUGGGGUCCUGCUCCCUCCCCAGCGGGGGUGCCGCGUGGCCUUAAGAAGCUGCAACUAGACAGCUUAGGGAGGGGACACCACCGGACAGGUUUGAUUUUUAAGUGCAUGGGCUCAGGGUUAUAUAAGCUGGCCGGUGUGUUUACUAAGUCAUGGGGAAGCUCGGAGAGGAGGGGGAGGGACAGAGACAGAGACAGACAGACAGAAGGAGAGACACACAGAGACAGAGCCCGGGAGGGAGAAGCCGCAGGGCUGGUCCGGCACAGACAGGCACAGGGCCGCCCUGGCCCCCCGCAAGGGUCAUCGUCCACUAAAGGUGUGAGGUCGCCUGCGGACCCCCAGAGGCCUGCCUGCGGGGCCCCUGACUCCUGGGGCAGCUCCUCACGGGAGAGUCGGUCCGAGCAGACGGGGCCGAGGGUGUGCCUGGAGGCGGGUGAUUCCUGGGCCCCCCCCCACCUGAGGUUGGGGGAAGACUCAGGGGCCAUAGGCACCAUGGCUGGUGCUGCACUCCCCCCUCCCUGCAGGCUGGGCCGCCCUCCCCGACGAAGGUGCUGGGUGUCCUGGGGGCUGAGGCGCAGCAAGGGGCCUGUGAUAAAGGAGGCCAGCUCUGGGUCAGCGCCCUUUCCGGGCUGGGAGGGACGGUCGCUCUCUGGCAGCGUGAGGGGCCAUGACCUGCUAGGGGAUGGGGCUUGGUCACCACCAGGAAGCAAACGAUGAGCCGAAGUGAAUCAGCCUCUGUGGGUUCUCCUGGCACCGUUGCCCGCCUGGGUGGCGAGAGUGUGACCGUUAAGUCAGUCGUUCCUUCCUCCAGCUCAAGGCCACUGUCACUUGCCAAGUCAGCGGCCACUUCAAGGCAUCCAAGGUUUUGAGGGGUGAGGAUGCACAAGGGGGGCCGUGAGCAGAGCUGCCAGGAGGGCGACACAGGCCACGUGCCCACUGGCCCCGACUGACCAGGCAGGUGUCAUCAGGCACUCGAUUAAUUGAACUAAUUAGCCAAAUCGGAGUCAGAUUCAGGCCUGAUUUUCCAAGCCGGCCUGUGUUUUUCUGGGCCGUGUGUUUCGGUUUCUCUUCUCCUCACGCAGGCACCAGGUGGUGAAACACCACACCUCGCUCAUUUGCGGGUGCGUCGUCUGUCUGAGGCUGUGCUGUCGUCCAGCACAGUCUGGCCGAAGAGUGUGUAGGUUUUACCUGUAACUGCAGAGUUGGCAGGAGACGUCCCUUCCAGCAAAGUUCAGGUGCAGUUCGUUCUGGACGUCUUUUCCAAGAAGCAAAGCCUCUGGCGUCUAAGAUGUGCAGCACCGGCUCUGCUGGCAGCAGAGGCGCAGAAGGCUUUUGGACUUGACGGAACUAAGACUUUGAAUCGUGCAUCAGUACCUGAACCGGGUCAGGACCACUUAGGACCAGACAGACCCGUGUCUUCUCCCCCGGAGGCCGCGCGCGGGCAGCGGAGAUGCAGACGAGACCCGGAUAACAGUGGCCUCCAUCUGUUGUCAGCGGUCAGGUGCAGGACAAGAAGCACAGCUACAGAAACAGGAGGAAAAGGCUAAUCACGGGAGCAAACUACAAGCUGGUUUUUGCGUCCAGAGAGCAGCCACUGGGGCCAGAGCUGGAAGCUCUCUGGACGCAGGAGGAGGGCAGAUUCCCUCUGACGGUUGGCAGUGUGGGUGCUUUGAUGAUGUCAUCGGGCCCUGGCGACCUCGGGCCUCGGCAACUUCAGGCCAUGGUCUGGGGGCUGCUGUGGUGGCCUCCUUGGGGCCCGCAUCUCGCGGUCCUGCUUCGGCAUGUGGAGAGGGUGGUUUUAGUUCCUCGUGCUUCCAAGUAGCAAAAUGGAAGGAAACCUGGAAACGUUACUUGGAGAGCUGGGGCCAGAUAUUUGGGGAAACUAGGAGAAUGUAGGGUCCCGCCCAGCUUACAGGGCGGUAAGACAGCCUCGAGGGAGGCAGGCAGGACCGAGCCUGGCACCGGGCACACGGGCGCUUCGGCGGAGACCAGUUCCUCCCCACAGCAGUCCCGUUUUCACCGAGGAGAAUCGUUGACCUGGGUCUGGUCAUCCACGUAAGUGGAACAAAAAUCAAGAUUUUUGCACAUUCCGAUGGUGACAGAAGCUUAGGUCAUACCUGGGGACUUUAUAAAGUCAUGCUUGGUCCCUAAAACUGUCUGAUAAUAAGAAAUCUCAGAUUCGAGAUUACAGGGAGAACAAAUUUCUACUUCACUUCUGUAAGCACCUAUAUUGCCAUGACCUUAAAAAUACUCAGUAAGUUUCUGAAUCCUGGGCUGGGGACCAAGAGGGCAGAGAAAGACAAAUGUUUCAUGUCUAGUUACAUAAAAAUGUGCGUUGCCAAAUUACUGUGAGUUCUUUCAGCUUAAAACAAAAAAAGAGGAGCGGGAUUCUGCAGCUCUGGAAACCAAAAUGCUGAAGCCCCAGCACUGCGUCAAAGAAAAAGUUAUGAAAAUUAUAAUCUUCCUUAUUGGUUCUCUCAAUGCCCGGUAAUUCAUUCUUGUUUGGCUCGAUUUGGGGUUGGCGGUUUUAUGAAUCAGUCAGUCUCUCCUUUAGAGCUUUAGGAAUUCCUCCCAAGACUCAUGGGAUGCCCAGGAAGUCCGAACCCGGUUUCUUGGAGCAGCUGUCAGAGCUCGGCCCGGGAUCCUUGCAGAUGAACGGCUUUUUCCUACAGGUGACUGUAAACGCUUUCAGAGAAGACUCUAGAAAAAACAUGACCUGCGGGCCACGAAAGCUGUGAAAAUAGCCGUGGCGGAAGAUCUAGGGAGAGUUCACCCACAGAAAAUGAUGCCAUCGGCAAGUCAGUUGGGUUAGUUCCGCGACGUGCACGGUUUUAAUAUAACCAUUGGAAGGGUGACUCAUUAUACGGACAGUAAGGACACUGACAAUUUUGAGGGAUUUUGUGCCGUUUUGGGUGUUAGCAACACACACCAUAACAUAUUGACGGAGGAAGGUGAGUCUCACUCGUAUUCAACCACGUUUUCUGCGUGAUUCAACCGCCGAUUUCGCCUCCUCGCCUGGAUGAGGAGAGAGGACCCAUCUUCUGAGAUCUUCCAGGGACCGAAGGGUGGAGGAAGCGGCCAGGAGCAGAGGGUCGGACCUGCGGCCGCACCCCAGACCGCCCGCGGGGGGCCGGGGCUGGGGUUGGGUCAGUCGCCAGCGGCCAGUGAUUUAAUCAAACAGCCUGUGCGAUGAAGCGUCCAUAAGACCCCAGGACGGGGCCUGGAGAGCCACCGGGCUGGUGAACAGGUGACGCGGGGAGAGGCGCCUAGAGACACGGAAGCCCCUCGUCCUUUUAGGAUAAACCCGUGAUCUGCUGAGCGAGUGUUUCUCAGGACUGCUCUAGAAAAUUCAUCGAGCCCACGAAGGGGUCCUGGGAACCCCCAAUCUAUAGCCAGUCAGUCAGGAGCCCAGGUGACAGUGUGGACUUGGGGCUGGCAUCCGGGGUGGGGGUGGCGUGGGGGGCAGUCCUGUGGGACUGAGCCCUGAACCUGGGGAGGUGGAGUCAGAACUGAGCUGGAGGAGUUCCCGUCGUGGCUCAGUGGUUAACGAAUCCGACUAGGAACCAUGAGGUUGUGGGUUCGAUCCCUGGCCUCGCUCAGUGGGUUAAGGAUCCGGUGUUGCCGUGAGCUGUGGUGUAGGUCGCAGAGGCAGCUUGGAUCCUGCGUUGCUGUGGCUCUGGCAUAGGCCGGUGGCUACAGCUCCGAUUAGACCCCUUGCCUGGGAAACUCCAUAUGCCGCGGGAAUGGCCCUAGAAAAGGCAAAAAGACAAAAAAAAAAAAAAAAAAAAA